Molecule: long non-coding RNA, 1824 nt
Organism: Passer montanus (Eurasian tree sparrow)
Lineage: Eukaryota; Metazoa; Chordata; Aves; Passeriformes; Passeridae
Exons: 3
Source: RefSeq, a predicted model, not a curated record
GGCUGCUGUUCAUGCUCAGCGAGCGCGUCCAUCUCCCCCCACACCCUCGAGCCCUUAAGUUGCAGCUUUUCACCACCUCGCUGAGCAGAGCCGAGCAGAGCCGAGCCGAGCAGAGAUGCUGCUCAGCGGGAACAGAAGGCACAGCCUGCUGACAGGUAGCCAGCAUGGACCCUGAGCCCGCCAGGGCCGGCUGCUGAGACAGGUCUCCGGUGUCGCUCUCCUGCUCCCGGUGAUGCCCCAGUUCACCUUCGCCUGUUUCUGCGGCCUCCACGGCUUCUGCAAGAUGAAGAGGAAGAAGGAAGAGGCCGGCGGGGGGCAGGAGACGGCCGUGUGAGGGGCGGCCCCCCGGACCCCUCCUGCCCCUCGGCUCCCCGGGGCAGAGCCGAUCCCGCCCCGACCUCGCUGGGGAUGUCACCCAGGUGCCACCGGGGAUGUCACCCAGGUGCCACCGCCACCCUCCCUGAUCCCGCCGGGACCCGGAAUUCCCUGUCCCCCACCCAGCUCCAGCAAAUCCCAGCAGACAGAGCCGGAAAAAUCCCAAAAACCGGCCCAGGGCUGCACAAUGCCCGGAGCAGCUCGGCCUCCCCAUCGCGGAUCCUGCUGGAAUUCCUACAAAUCCCAGCGCCGUGGAUUCCUGCUGUUCAUGGGAAGAGCCUCCGGCUCCUCGGGAAGGCAGAAAGAGGAAUUUAUUUAUUUAUUCCCAGCAGCAAUAAUCCUUUUUAACCCCAUCACAGCAAGGAAAGGAUCCAGCUUCCCUCGGAGCUGCCCUGCUCACGUUCCCACCGGGAAUUUCGGCAAUUCCUGCAUCCUGGUGGCAGCCAAGAGAUAAAAAACAAACCAAAAAAACCCCUUUUUAAAUAUUUUUCUCACGUGGUCAAAGCUCUCCCUUCUCCCUUCCACAGGGAGGAUUUAUUCCAGGUAUUCCCAGUCUUCCAGCAGGCCAAAAUAAUUGGUGGCUGCCCCAAAAAUCGGAGUUUUUCCGAAUGUGAUGCCAAGGACAAAGCUCCAGGUGGGCUCAGGGAGCUCCAGUUCUUUGGGAAACGCUGACUUUGUCCUGUUCCUAUUUUUGCACAUCAGCAGAGCCUCCCCUGUUCCACCUUUGCAUCCCCAGCGCUGCCCUUGGCGAGGACUUCUGGGAUCAGCUCUGGGCCAAAAAACACCCCAAAAUCCAAGGAAGUUGGUGGAACUCCAAGAGAAUUUCCUGAAUGUAACUUUAUUUUUGCACAAGGGUUUGUGGUGGCCGCACGAGGGAUGUGUUUAAGGAUUUAAAGAAAUUGGGAUUAAUCCCUGCUCUGGAAAUGGUCACGGGUGUAAAGAUAAGGGUGGAAUUCCAGCCUUGUUUUAUUCCAGGAUAAAUCCACAGGGACACUGAGAUGCGUGGGAAAAGAUUAAUUCUAGAGAAACCAGCGUGGACUGACUCCCAUCCCUCCGAUUUCUCCUGUUUCUCCAGGUUUUUCCUAUGCAAAAACACACAAAAAACCAGCAAAAACAAAGCCAGGCCAGCAGCAGGUCCUGACUCAACAAAGCCCGGCUUAAACCUCAGGCUUUGCUUUGGGGUUUUGCUCCACCCCAUCGAUUUUCCUGAUUCCAGCCUGGAUCGAUCCCUAGCCAGGAGGGAAAGGCUCAGAAUUCUCCUUGCAGCCUCUCCUGGCAGGGAUCAAAGGGUUAAAUCUCUUUUUAUUGUCCUUUUUUUAUCCCUGCUGCCCGGAUUUCUUUGGGAAAGGACUCCCAGGGUGUUCCUCGGGAGCCUCCCAGCCCAGGAGCCAUAGGAAUCUGUACUGUACAUUUAUUUUUUGGGGUUUUUUUUGGGGGGGAAUAAAAGUG